This 70-nucleotide transfer RNA is filed under the name Microbacterium sp. MYb66. RNAcentral describes it as "tRNA-Gly". It matches the Rfam family "tRNA". Rfam says of the family: Transfer RNA (tRNA) molecules are approximately 80 nucleotides in length. Lineage: Bacteria; Bacillati; Actinomycetota; Actinomycetes; Micrococcales; Microbacteriaceae. The record is from RNAcentral.
GGGUCAGGAGAAGGGCCGCCACCUGCUUCCCAAGCAGAUAGCGCGGGUUCGAUUCCCGUCAGUCCCUCCA